AUUUCAUUAGUAAAAAUAUUAUAUUAUCUUGAUAAGGUAAAGUUCUGUAAUGAUGAAAUA
Molecule: transfer RNA, 60 nt
Filed under: Teladorsagia circumcincta
Lineage: Eukaryota; Metazoa; Nematoda; Chromadorea; Rhabditida; Trichostrongylidae
Description: tRNA-Ile
Source: RNAcentral